RNAcentral lists this ribosomal RNA (789 nucleotides) under uncultured archaeon. RNAcentral describes it as "bacterial SSU rRNA". It matches the Rfam family "Archaeal small subunit ribosomal RNA", at positions 85 to 879 of the family's 1478-position model. The record is from RNAcentral.
ACGGCUCAGUAACACGUGGACAACCUACCCUGAGGAGGGGGAUAACCCCGGGAAACUGGGGAUAAUACCCCAUAGACUAUGGAUGCUGGAAUGCUCUGUAGUUAAAAGGCCCGCCGCCUCAGGAUGGGUCUGCGGCCGAUUAGGUUGUUGUUGGGGUAACGGCCCAACAAGCCUGUAAUCGGUACGGGUUGUGGGAGCAAGAGCCCGGAGAUGGAUUCUGAGACACGAAUCCAGGCCCUACGGGGCGCAGCAGGCGCGAAAACUUUACAAUGCGAGCAAUCGUGAUAAGGGAACUCCGAGUGCCCGUAAAAUCGGGCUGUCCGCCAGUGUAAAUAACUGGUGAAGAAAGGGCCGGGCAAGACCGGUGCCAGCCGCCGCGGUAAUACCGGCGGCUCGAGUGGUGGCCNCUAUUACUGGGCUUAAAGCGUUCGUAGCUGGUCUGUUAAGUCUCUGGGGAAAUCUUCCGGCUUAACCGGAAGGCGUCUCAGGGAUACUGACAGACUAGGGACCGGAAGAGGUGAGAGGUACUCCAGGGGUAGGAGUGAAAUCCUGUAAUCCUUGGGGGACCACCUGUGGCGAAGGCGUCUCACCAGGACGGCUCCGACAGUGAGGAACGAAAGCUGGGGGAGCAAACCGGAUUAGAUACCCGGGUAGUCCCAGCUGUAAACGAUGCGCGUUAGGUGUAUCGGUGACCACGAGUCACCGAGGUGCCGAAGAGAAAUCGUGAAACGCGCCGCCUGGGAAGUACGGUCGCAAGGCUGAAACUUAAAGGAAUUGGCGGGGGAGCAC